GAACCGGCGAGUUACGAUUUGUUGCAAGGUUAAGCGGAAAAAGCGGAGCCGUAGCGAAAGCGAGUCUGAAUAGGGCGCAUAAGUAACAGGUCGUAGACCCGAAACCAGGUGAUCUACCCAUGUCCAGGAUGAAGGUAAGGUAAUACUUACUGGAGGUCCGAACCCACGCACGUUGAAAAGUGCGGGGAUGAGGUGUGGGUAGCGGAGAAAUUCCAAUCGAACUUGGAGAUAGCUGGUUCUCUCCGAAAUAGCUUUAGGGCUAGCCUCGAGGUAAAGAGUCAUGGAGGUAGAGCACUGUUUGGACUAGGGGCCCUUCUCGGGUUACCGAAUUCAGAUAAACUCCGAAUGCCAUGUACUUAUACUCGGGAGUCAGACUGCGAGUGAUAAGAUCCGUAGUCGAAAGGGAAACAGCCCAGACCACCAGUUAAGGUCCCCAAAUAUAUGUUAAGUGGAAAAGGAUGUGGGGUUGCUUAGACAACCAGGAUGUUGGCUUAGAAGCAGCCACCAUUGAAAGAGUGCGUAAUAGCUCACUGGUCGAGUGACCCCGCGCCGAAAAUGUACCGGGGCUAAACAUAUUACCGAAACUGUGGAUGAACCUCUUUAGAGGUUCGUGGUAGGAGAGCGUUCUAAGGGCGGUGAAGUCAGACCGGAAGGACUGGUGGAGCGCUUAGAAGUGAGAAUGCCGGUAUGAGUAGCGAAAGAAGGGUGAGAAUCCCUUCCACCGAAUAUCUAAGGUUUCCUGAGGAAGGCUCGUCCGCUCAGGGUUAGUCGGGACCUAAGCCGAGGCCGAUAGGCGUAGGCGAUGGACAACAGGUAGAGAUUCCUGUACCAGUGCUAAUUGUUUAACCGAUGGGGUGACACAGAAGGAUAGGGAAUCGCACGAAUGGAAAUGUGCGUCCAAGCAGUGAGUGUGAGAAGUAGGCAAAUCCGCUUCUCGCGAAGCAUGAGCUGUGAUGGGGAAGGAAAUUAAGUACGGAAGUUCCUGAUUUCACGCUGUCAAGAAAAGCCUCUAGGAAGAGUAGUACUGCCCGUACCGCAAACCGACACAGGUAGAUGAGGAGAGAAUCCUAAGGUGAGCGAGAGAACUCUCGUUAAGGAACUCGGCAAAAUGACCCCGUAACUUCGGGAGAAGGGGUGCUCUAUUAGGGUGCAAGCCCGAGAGAGCCGCAGUGAAUAGGCCCAGGCGACUGUUUAGCAAAAACACAGGUCUCUGCAAAACCGUAAGGUGACGUAUAGGGGCUGACGCCUGCCCGGUGCUGGAAGGUUAAGAGGAGUGCUUAGCUUCGGCGAAGGUACGAAUUGAAGCCCCAGUAAACGGCGGCCGUAACUAUAACGGUCCUAAGGUAGCGAAAUUCCUUGUCGGGUAAGUUCCGACCCGCACGAAAGGCGCAACGAUCUGGGCACUGUCUCAACGAGAGACUCGGUGAAAUUAUAGUACCUGUGAAGAUGCAGGUUACCCGCGACAGGACGGAAAGACCCCGUGGAGCUUUACUGCAACCUGAUAUGGAAUGUUUGUACCGCUUGUACAGGAUAGGUAGGAGCCGAAGAGACGUGUGCGCUAGCAUACGAGGAGGCAAUGGUGGGAUACUACCCUGGCUGUAUGACCAUUCUAACCCGCCACGCUUAGCGCGUGGGGAGACAGUGUCAGGUGGGCAGUUUGACUGGGGCGGUCGCCUCCUAAAGAGUAACGGAGGCGCCCAAAGGUUCCCUCAGAAUGGAUGGAAAUCAUUCGCAGAGUGUAAAGGCACAAGGGAGCUUGACUGCGAGACUGACAAGUCGAGCAGGGACGAAAGUCGGGCUUAGUGAUCCGGUGGUUCCGCAUGGAAGGGCCAUCGCUCAACGGAUAAAAGCUACCCCGGGGAUAACAGGCUUAUCUCCCCCAAGAGUCCACAUCGACGGGGAGGUUUGGCACCUCGAUGUCGGCUCGUCGCAUCCUGGGGCUGUAGUCGGUCCCAAGGGUUGGGCUGUUCGCCCAUUAAAGCGGCACGCGAGCUGGGUUCAGAACGUCGUGAGACAGUUCGGUCCCUAUCCGUCGCGGGCGCAGGAAAUUUGAGAGGAGCUGUCCUUAGUACGAGAGGACCGGGAUGGACACACCGCUGGUGUACCAGUUGUUCCGCCAGGAGCAUCGCUGGGUAGCUAUGUGUGGCAGGGAUAAACGCUGAAAGCAUCUAAGCGUGAAGCCCCCCUCAAGAUGAGAUUUCCCAUUUCUUCGGAAAGUAAGAUCCCUGAAAGAUGAUCAGGUAGAUAGGUUUGGAGUGGAAGUGUAGCGAUACAUGGAGCGGACAAAUACUAAUCGAUCGAGGACUUAACCAAAA
This 2315-nucleotide ribosomal RNA is filed under the name Listeria monocytogenes. RNAcentral's name for it is "partial 23S ribosomal RNA". It matches the Rfam family "Bacterial large subunit ribosomal RNA", at positions 617 to 2925 of the family's 2925-position model. Lineage: Bacteria; Bacillati; Bacillota; Bacilli; Caryophanales; Listeriaceae. The record is from RNAcentral.